GAUGAACGCUAGCUACAGGCUUAACACAUGCAAGUCGAGGGGUAACGAGAGGAAAGCUUGCUUUCCUUGUCGACGACCGGCGCACGGGUGAGUAACGCGUAUCCAACCUGCCCCCAACUAGGGAAUAACCUUGCGAAAGUAAGACUAAUACCCUAUAAUUUCCUCAGAUGUCAUCUGACGAGGAAUAAAGAUUUAUCGGUUGUGGAUGGGGAUGCGUCUGAUUAGCUUGUUGGCGGGGUAACGGCCCACCAAGGCAACGAUCAGUAGGGGUUCUGAGAGGAAGGUCCCCCCCAUUGGAACUGAGACACGGUCCAAACUCCUACGGGGGGCAGCAGUGAGGAAUAUUGGUCAAUGGGCGGAAGCCUGAACCAGCCAAGUAGCGUGCAAGAUGACGGCCCUAUGGGUUGUAAACUGCUUUUAUACAGGAAUAAAGUUAGCCACGUGUGGUUAUUUGUAGGUACUGUAUGAAUAAGGACCGGCUAAUUCCGUGCCAGCCGCCGCAGUAA
RNAcentral lists this ribosomal RNA (506 nucleotides) under uncultured bacterium. Its description in RNAcentral is "partial 16S ribosomal RNA". It matches the Rfam family "Bacterial small subunit ribosomal RNA", at positions 28 to 523 of the family's 1533-position model. The record is from RNAcentral.